This 292-nucleotide ribosomal RNA is filed under the name uncultured bacterium. RNAcentral's name for it is "partial 16S ribosomal RNA". The record is from RNAcentral.
GGACUACCGGGGUAUCUAAUCCUGUUUGCUCCCCACGCUUUCGCGCCUCAGCGUCAGUCAAGGACCAGGUCGCCGCCUUCGCCACCGGUGUUCUUCCCAAUAUCUACGAAUUUCACCUCUACACUGGGAAUUCCACGACCCUCUUCCCCACUCCAGCCCAAACGUCUCGAACGCAGCCCCCGGGUUGAGCCCAGGAAUUUCACGCCCGACUGUCCAGGCCGCCUACGCGCCCUUUACGCCCAGUCAUUCCGAGCAACGCUAGCCCCCUUCGUAUUACCGCGGCUGCUGGCAC